This 850-nucleotide ribosomal RNA is filed under the name Desulfovibrio sp. OH1186_COT-070. RNAcentral describes it as "bacterial SSU rRNA". It matches the Rfam family "Bacterial small subunit ribosomal RNA", at positions 693 to 1533 of the family's 1533-position model. Lineage: Bacteria; Pseudomonadati; Thermodesulfobacteriota; Desulfovibrionia; Desulfovibrionales; Desulfovibrionaceae. The record is from RNAcentral. RNAcentral also lists the same sequence under 1 other name.
GAGAUAUGGAGGAACACCAGUGGCGAAGGCGACUUUCUGGUCUGUAACUGACGCUGAUGUGCGAAAGCGUGGGGAUCAAACAGGAUUAGAUACCCUGGUAGUCCACGCCGUAAACGAUGAGUGCUAGGUGUUAGGCCCUUUCCGGGGCUUAGUGCCGCAGCUAACGCAUUAAGCACUCCGCCUGGGGAGUACGACCGCAAGGUUGAAACUCAAAGGAAUUGACGGGGGCCCGCACAAGCGGUGGAGCAUGUGGUUUAAUUCGAAGCAACGCGAAGAACCUUACCAAAUCUUGACAUCCUUUGAAAACUCUAGAGAUAGAGCCUUCCCCUUCGGGGGACAAAGUGACAGGUGGUGCAUGGUUGUCGUCAGCUCGUGUCGUGAGAUGUUGGGUUAAGUCCCGCAACGAGCGCAACCCUUAAGCUUAGUUGCCAUCAUUAAGUUGGGCACUCUAAGUUGACUGCCGGUGACAAACCGGAGGAAGGUGGGGAUGACGUCAAAUCAUCAUGCCCCUUAUGAUUUGGGCUACACACGUGCUACAAUGGACAAUACAAAGGGCAGCUAAACCGCGAGGUCAAGCAAAUCCCAUAAAGUUGUUCUCAGUUCGGAUUGUAGUCUGCAACUCGACUACAUGAAGCUGGAAUCGCUAGUAAUCGUAGAUCAGCAUGCUACGGUGAAUACGUUCCCGGGUCUUGUACACACCGCCCGUCACACCACGAGAGUUUGUAACACCCGAAGUCGGUGAGGUAACCUUUUAGGAGCCAGCCGCCUAAGGUGGGAUAGAUGAUUGGGGUGAAGUCGUAACAAGGUAGCCGUAUCGGAAGGUGCGGCUGGAUCACCUCCUUUCUAAGGA